AUACGGAGGGUGCAAGCGUUGUUCGGAAUUAUUGGGCGUAAAGAGCAUGUAGGCGGUUCGUUAAGUCUGAUGUGAAAGCCCGGGGCUCAACCCCGGAAGUGCAUUGGAUACUGGCGAACUUGAGUACGGGAGAGGAACGUGGAAUUUCGAGUGUAGGGGUGAAAUCCGUAGAUAUUCGAAGGAACACCAGUGGCGAAGGCGGCUUUCUGGACCGAUCCUGACGCUGAGAUGCGAAAGCGUGGGGAGCAAACAGGAUUAGAAACCCGAGUAGUCC
Molecule: ribosomal RNA, 274 nt
Filed under: uncultured bacterium
Lineage: Bacteria
Description: partial 16S ribosomal RNA
Rfam family: Bacterial small subunit ribosomal RNA
Source: RNAcentral